AACGAACGCUGGCGGCAUGCCUAACACAUGCAAGUCGAACGAGACCUUCGGGUCUAGUGGCGCACGGGUGCGUAACGCGUGGGAACCUGCCCUUGGGUUCGGAAUAACUCCCCGAAAGGGGUGCUAAUACCGGAUAAUGUCUUAGGACCAAAGAUUUAGUGCUUGUGGAUGGGCCCGCGGUGGAUUAGCUAGUUGGUAGGGUAAAGGCCUAUCAAGGCGUCGAUCGAUAGCUGGUCUGAGAGGAUGAUCGGCCACACUGGGACUGAGAUACGGCCCAGACGCCUACGGGAGGCAGGAGUGGGGAAUAUUGCACAAUGGGAGGAAGCAUGAUGCAGCAACGCCGCGUGAGGGAUGACGGCCUUCGGGUUGUAAACCGCUUUCGCCUGUGACGAAGCGUGAGUGACGGUAAUGGGUAAAGAAGCACCGGCUAACUACGUG
This 438-nucleotide ribosomal RNA is filed under the name uncultured bacterium. RNAcentral describes it as "partial 16S ribosomal RNA". It matches the Rfam family "Bacterial small subunit ribosomal RNA", at positions 29 to 507 of the family's 1533-position model. The record is from RNAcentral.